RNAcentral lists this transfer RNA (57 nucleotides) under Bos taurus (domestic cattle). It matches the Rfam family "tRNA", at positions 8 to 63 of the family's 71-position model. From Rfam's summary of the family: Transfer RNA (tRNA) molecules are approximately 80 nucleotides in length. Their secondary structure includes four short double-helical elements and three loops (D, anti-codon, and T loops). Further hydrogen bonds mediate the characteristic L-shaped molecular structure. tRNAs have two regions of fundamental functional importance: the anti-codon, which is responsible for specific mRNA codon recognition, and the 3' end, to which the tRNAs corresponding amino acid is attached (by aminoacyl-tRNA synthetases). tRNAs cope with the degeneracy of the genetic code in two manners: having more than one tRNA (with a specific anti-codon) for a particular amino acid; and 'wobble' base-pairing, i.e. permitting non-standard base-pairing at the 3rd anti-codon position. The record is from Rfam by way of RNAcentral. RNAcentral also lists the same sequence under 3 other names. Lineage: Eukaryota; Metazoa; Chordata; Mammalia; Artiodactyla; Bovidae.
UAGCUUAGAGGUUAAAGCAUCUACCUGCAAUGCAGGAGACCCGGGUUCAAUCCCUGG